Molecule: long non-coding RNA, 4535 nt
Filed under: Sus scrofa (pig)
Lineage: Eukaryota; Metazoa; Chordata; Mammalia; Artiodactyla; Suidae
Description: lncRNA (ENSSSCG00035056778.1)
Source: RNAcentral
UUUUUGUUUUCUUUUUGGUUUCCUUUGCUGUACAAAAGCUUUUCAGUUUGAUGAGGUCCCAUUGGUUUAUUUUUGCUCUUAUUUCUGUUGCUUUGGGAGACUGACCUGAGAAAAAUAUUCAUAAGGUUGAUGUCAGAGAAUGUUUUGCCUAUGUUCUCUUCCAGGAGUUUGAUGGUAUCUUGUCUGAUGUUUAAGUCUUUCAACCAUUUUGAGUUUAUUUUUGUGCAUGGUGUGAGGGUGUGUUCUAGUUUCAUUGAUUUACAUGCAGCUCUCCAGGUUUCCCAGCAAUUCUUGCUGGAAAGACUGUCUUUUUCUCAUUUUAUGUUCUUGACUCCUUUGUCAAAGAUUAAUUGACCAUAGGUAUCUGGGUUUCUUUCUGGGUUCUCUAUUCUGUUCCACUCGUUGGUCGGUCUGUUUUGGUACCAUAUCACAUUGUCUUGAUGACUGUGGCUUUGUAAUAUGGCCUGAAGUGUGGGAGAGAGUUAUGCCUCCUGCUUAGUUUUUGUUCCUCAGGAUUGGUUUGGCGAUUCUGGGUCUUUUGUGGUUCCAUAUACAUUUUUGGAUUGUUUGUUCUAGUUCUGUGAAAAAUGUCAUGGGUAAUUUGAUAGGGAUUGCAUUGAAUCUGUAGAUUGAUUUGGGCAGGAUGGCCAUUUUUACAGUAUUAAUUUUUCCAAUCCAGGAGCAUGGAAUAUCUUUCCAUUUUUUACAUCUUCCUUAGUUUCCUUGAUUAAUGUUUUAUAGUUCCCCAGCCAUGUAAGUCUUUCACCUCCCUGGUCAGGUGUAUUCCCAGGUAUUUGAUUUUUUGGGGUAUAAUUUUAAAAGGUAUUAUUUUUCUCUAUUCAUUUUCUAAUAUUUCAUUGUUGGUGUACAGAAAUGUGACUGAUUUCUGAAUGUUAAUUUUAGAUCCUGCUAGUUUUCUGAAUUUGUUGUUCAAGUUGUUUUUGGGUUGAGUCCUUAGAGUUUUAUAUAUAUAGUAUCAUGUCAUCUGCAUGACAUUGUUACCUCUUCUCUUCCUAUUUGGAUGUCUUUUAUUUCUUUUAUUUGUCUAAAUGCAUGGCAUGAUGAACACCAAUUUCAGGAUGGUAGCUACCUCUAGGGGAAAGGAAAGAUGAUCAGGAAACGGGACAUAGAUUAAGGAAAUUAACUGCUGUGACAAUACAGGCAUCCCCUAUUGUUCAAAAGUUCACUUUAUGCCACUUUACUUUUCUGAAAUCCUGCAUUAGCACCCAUUUUCAGUUAUCAAAAUAAGUAUGAAGACUUUUGCUUUUACCAAAAAAGGCAAAAACGAUAGUGUUUAGCAUUUGUUUUGUGGCAAGCUGCUAUAGAGGCAGCAUGGCACCUUACCCAGCAAUAGUGGCACCACCAAGUUCCUUCCCCAAGAACCAUAUUGAGUAUCUCAUCAUCAGUCCUCCACAGCUUCAAACUGUGUCUGUGAGCACCUGUGCUUUAUCUCCAUUUAUUUUGUACAUCUGUGAGCAGGAUGUGACCUAUAUAGUAACUGCUUCUUUGCUUUAUGCUAUAUUAGCUUAUGAAAGUUUUCAUUGGAACCUAUGGUUUAGACAGUUGGGAAACCUGUAUUUUAUUACCUAUGCUGGGUGAUGACAUGUGUGCUUGAGUAUGCCCUAAGUGUUGCAUAAUAAAUUGUUUAAAAUUUUAGUAAGUGUUUUCAAGUGAUAUCCUUCAAAUUACACAUGCUAAUCAUUAUAGUGCUAAUCAUUAUAGGAGUCAAACUAUGUGACUCCUCAUUAAUAAAAUUCUCAUAAAUGAGCUAUAUAAACACUUGUAAACUAAAUAAAAUCACAGAAAUUUAAAAUAUGACAGAAAUAUGAAAGAUCACUAUAAUUUUUCUUACUCCAUAUAUUUGAGAUAUUUUCCAAAAGAUGCUCUUAUCAGAGAUAUUUUCCAAAAGGUGCUCUUAUCAAAGCAUUGUUGCAACGAUCCCUUUCUAUAUCCUAUUCAUACUUUAGAGGAAUUUUCUACAUGACUUGCAACUUUAGUGGUGCAUGUAGGCCAAUCUUCUAUUAAUUACACAAAGAAAAUAAGAUUUAAAAUAAUAAGUUUUCUUGUAAAAAGGCUAAUUUUUAAAAAAUCUCAAAAGGUGUGGUUUUAUAUUUGCAUCACUAAAGUUUUGAAAAAUCAAAUCUAAAGAAAAAGCAGCAACAUGAAAAAUGAAGCAUAUAAUAAAAUUCAGAAACACUCUAGUUCUUGGAGAAUUUUUAAAAAGUUAAAUCAUUAUCCAAGUGGUGUUAUCACUUAAUUCACCCACUAAAACUUCUCACAUUUUCAUUUCCAUUGUGACUCAGUACUGAGUAUCACUCUCUAUGUUUCAGUAAGAAACUAUAGGUUAGAAAAAAAGUCUAUGAUUUGAAAGCAUGAAAGAAUUAAAGAAGUUAAACAGUGGCAAAUUAAAUUGUCUAAGGAACCCAUUUAUCACUUAUUUUGCUUAAUUGAAAAUGCUGAAUAGCAGUUCUUUAAAAAUAUGAUUCUAUAGAAAAGUCAGAUUUUCUCAAGUGAAUUUUAGCUAUUAUAUCUACAUCUACAGAUACGUGAACAAAUACCUCCCUGAAAGAUGUGCAGUUCAUCUUUGUAUGUGUAGCUUCACACUGUUGAACCAGGAUCCACUAGACCAUCAUUUAUCCCUCUUACACGAAAUGGGAGAAACAUUAUAUGCAAUACCUUCAUACCAAGAACAUCUGUCCUCAAGGUUAAUGUAAACACAAUAUAUAUGUUGAAAGCCCCAAAUUAAGUAAUUUCAGCAGAUUAGCAGACCAUAACCAAUAAGCUAUUUGUGUUCCUUAUUUUAUUAAACAUAUAAUUUUAAAAUUAAAAAACAAAUAUGUAAAUUUUUGAUCUUUUAAAAUUAGAAAACUGAUUUUCUUUUACCAUCGAGACUAGGACUGUCAACCCUUUAUAUGAAAAUGCCCAGAAACAAACAAGUAAUAUAAAUGAGUCAAGUAGGUGACAUUUAAUAUGGAGUGAUGGGACUAGGGCAAGGUGGAAACACUUUUUAAAUCCUCAUUUGGGUUAUAAGGAAAAUUGUGAAAGUCUGUGAAAUGGGCAAAAAGUAUACAGGGUGUGCUGUCAAGAAUACUCAUCUGGGUUUUAUCUGCCUUUCAUUUUCUUUGACUUAUUCAACAAUUCUAAGUUGUAGAGAACUGAUUACAAGGCAAAUGAUCCCUAUCCAUAGAAAUGUAAAUAAAUGGUGACUUGAGGAGAUGUAACUGCUUAUUGCCCUGUGGAUAAUAAGCAGUUUUGCAUCUAUGUCUAAAUUCAUUUCAGAAUUCAUAAUUGGCUUUGUCUGGGUUUUAUUUUAUUUUGUUGAUUUCCUUUUUAACUAGUUGUAACACCUUACUAAUUUUCUCCUUAAUUAAUGAACUAAAUGAACUAAAUGAAACCUUUGAUUCAUGUUCUUUUAACAUUCAUGAGAGUCAUAAUAUUUUUUAAAUUAUUUCUAAUUGAAUCUAUAUACUAAUGGAAAAAUCAGUCUUAGCCAGAGAAAUUAAGCAAGAAAAAGAAAUAAAAGUUAUCCAAAAUGGAAAGGAAGAAGGUGCUCACAUUUCUUUUCAGCAGCCUACAACCUGGGGUUCAGACUGCUGUUCCCAUAAGCACUCCAAGUUAGGUAAGACAGAAACUAGUGCCUCAGGCAGUCUGCAAAAAAGCCAGAACAUUGGAUUCUACUCUUCUAUUUUUUUUUUCUCUUGAGAGAGAAGCCAGGAGCUGGCAGUUUUCUCCCAAUCAUGCUGCACCAUGCCAGAGCAGAAGAGGCUAGGGCAUGCAACAUGCCAUGGAUAGGGGCGCAGCAGCCGUUAAACUGGUUUUUAAAAUUCUCACAAAGGCAACUUUUCCAUAUAUUAAGUAAGUUUCUGUAUAGAGAAAUAAUAGCCUGGGGCUUCCUAUUCCACCACCUUCCUGCAUUUUUAAUAAAUGUAAACAUUAAGUAGAAGUAAUACUAACCAUUCAAUCAGUAAAUCUCAUACAUUUAGAAAGAACAUUGUUUACAUUGUUUAUUCAAGUGGAAUAAACAAUGUAAACUUGUAUUAUACUUAAUGCUGAUAACUCAGAGAAAGCAAAGAUUGUUUAUAACAAAACUAAACUAUUCUCAUGUGGCAAAGAUGUACCUAAACUAUGUGAACACAAAAUAUUAAAAUAUUUCAAGUUUCUGUCUGUAUCUCUGUAAACUAUUUUUUUAACACAUUGAAAGAGCUAGGAGUUCAAUUUCUUGUUUCUCUAAGCCAAUUAGAAUAGAGUUCUUUUGAGAAGUUUUACAGUCUAAUUUGGGAAUGCCAUCCAAAGAUAAGAAACUAUUACACACUCACACAAUGAGAAGUAAAGGCCUUUUAGAAUUACAGACAUAUAAACAUACAGAUACACAGAGAAAGCUUAUAACAUCAACUCUAAAAUUUUAGCCACAAGUCAAGCAAAAAUAGAAAUAUAAAACUCAUCAGUCUAGAAAUCCAUUUUCUAGUAGGCAUGAAAUUGGUACCUGAUAUGAGCGCAAAUGAGACAAAAAAGACAAAGAAAAUCCUAAAAGACCA